ACGGCCAUAGGUUAAUGGUAGACUAGUCGCCUUCCAAGCGAUGUGUGUCGAUUCGAAUUCGGCUGGCCGUA
Glarea lozoyensis 74030 is the source of this 71-nucleotide transfer RNA. It matches the Rfam family "tRNA". Rfam says of the family: Transfer RNA (tRNA) molecules are approximately 80 nucleotides in length. Their secondary structure includes four short double-helical elements and three loops (D, anti-codon, and T loops). Further hydrogen bonds mediate the characteristic L-shaped molecular structure. tRNAs have two regions of fundamental functional importance: the anti-codon, which is responsible for specific mRNA codon recognition, and the 3' end, to which the tRNAs corresponding amino acid is attached (by aminoacyl-tRNA synthetases). tRNAs cope with the degeneracy of the genetic code in two manners: having more than one tRNA (with a specific anti-codon) for a particular amino acid; and 'wobble' base-pairing, i.e. permitting non-standard base-pairing at the 3rd anti-codon position. The record is from Rfam. Lineage: Eukaryota; Fungi; Ascomycota; Leotiomycetes; Helotiales; Helotiaceae.